This 65-nucleotide transfer RNA is filed under the name Staphylinidae sp. BMNH 1274240. RNAcentral describes it as "tRNA-Pro". Lineage: Eukaryota; Metazoa; Arthropoda; Insecta; Coleoptera; Staphylinidae. The record is from RNAcentral.
AAAGGAUAGUUUUAAAUAAAAUAUUAAUUUUGGAGAUUAAAGAUGAAGGUUAACUUUUCCUUUGA